Setaria italica (foxtail millet) is the source of this 5655-nucleotide long non-coding RNA. RefSeq lists it as uncharacterized. The record is from RefSeq and is a predicted model, not a curated record. The transcript is spliced from 4 exons. NCBI's taxonomy places the organism in Eukaryota, Viridiplantae, Streptophyta, Magnoliopsida, Poales, Poaceae.
CCCUCCCAACCUCCAUUGCCAGCACCCCUAAGCUCCAAAUCCCUUUUUUUUGCCGGCGAAAUUCAUUGCUGCGAGCAAGCCUUGGCUCAAUUCCUCGCAGCUACACCUUCCCAUCGAUGUCGCGCAUCCGUUUUGCCGCCUCCAGGCCGUCCUCCCUUGCCGGGCAAGUCUCCCCAUGGGAGCCCCCUUGGCACAUCUUCUGGUUGCCGUGAAGCCCUUUGCUGCGCCGUCCCCUCCUCAUCGCAGCGCUGCUGGUGAGCAUCCCCUAGCCUAGGACACCGUUUCCCCACUGCUAUCCCUCCCCUAAGCCACACCAUCCUAACCUCCCUGUCGUGGCUGGCCAAGAGCCCGUGCAAGUCUGUGCCGUGCUGCUUCUAUUUUGUGAUGCGCAGGGGUGUGUUUGGAGAAGAAGGGAAAAGGAGAAGGGGUUAUGGGAAAAAUCCAAGGACCUAUACGUGAGUUUUCAGUAGAUCUGCGGGCUGUUUUGAAAGUUGGUCACGAUUUUCUUUUAUUUCCUAGAUUAAAUAGCUGCAAACUUUGAAAAGGUAUAGAAAAAUGUAGAAAAAAUGGGAAAAUAUGAAACUUGUUUUGUUGGAUUUUUUGUGAUGUCUAGUUUAUUUCAAAAAUGAUUUUUGUGCAUGUUACUAUUUUGCAGUAGGAUCUAUGAUUUAUUUUGUGUGGAAGCCAUUAAGUGCCUUAUAAAUAACAUAGUGCUCUAAAAAUUGUGAAGCCACUUUUGUUAGUUCACUUGUAGCAUGCAUGUUCAGAUCUGAAACUUGUACUACUAGUCUAGGUGAUGUUCAUGUUGUUUUAGAUUUAAAAUUCUUAAAUGCUUAGUUAUGUUGUUUAAAAUUCAGAAACAAGAUAACUUUCCAAAUGAAUGAUGAACAACACAAAAAUGACCACCACCUUUCUUUGAUGAAUUCUAAGUUAUUCAAACCUUAUAUGUGUACACAAUCACCAUCAAACAAAAGCCAUAUUUUCAUUCCAACCAAACUUGUUGUGUGAAGAAAAGAAAUGUUAAACUUGUCUAGGUGAAUGUGUUCGAAGUGCACCGUGAGAUUUUACAAUGUUUACGAAAUGCAACCUACAUUGUGAACGUUUAUAAAUGAAAUCUUAUGCAUAUGCAUCUAGUGUAGAAGCUAACCUCGCUGACGGAACAUACGAUCUCGGCCUGGAACGCGAAGAAGGACACCCUCUUGCUGAGCUGAACGUGGUCGAGGCAACCCAAGGCCCGAACCAAAGUUCGGAAGAGCCCAAGGCUGAGUUAGGGCAAGAAGGCAAGCCUCGGAGCAUAACCCUGGUUUCGAAAAUUAUGCACUACUUAUGCUAGUUAUGUUUGUGCAUUAAGUUUAUAGGAGUUGCUUGAAACCUCAGUUGCAUGAUCCUAGGUAUCUAUGUGUUGAAUACUAAUAUGUUAAGUCGUGUAGUUGUUAUGCUAAAUAGGGACACGGUAAAAUUCGAGUGAUUUCCAGUCACUCGCGAGCUAUAGGAGUUCCCUAUUUACUUAUGUUGGAAUCAUAAGGAUUGACGAGCGGGGCUGAGCUAUAUGUUCUGGAUUGGUGGAUUGCCCUGUCUGUCUAGUGGAAAAAUAUGCUAAGGUCGAAUCGUGACGGUGUUCGUGGUCAAGUGUUUGAAUGUACUAAGCUCAUACCUAGUAUGGGAUGGGGAAGCCUAGUACCUGAUUGAACUGGUGUGGACCUUUCCCCCGUUCUCUCUGGAACUGGGUUCCCAUGUGGCCACAUUGGGUACAAGUGCAGUCACGGUACAGCGUCGUUCUGGGACCGGUGGGGCCUCGUAUCCAAGGGAAGUGGUAUCUGGAUAAACAUCGCGAAUUGACGGGAACCGCUGAUAUAUGCGAACCUGGCACGAUAGUAGCAUAUAUUGUGGGUUUGGGUCCACCUGGCAAGGUUAAGAAACUCGAUUCGAAUCGUCUGCCUCUCACAGUUUGAGACUGCUUGAUCACUAUGCUGCACUGAGUAAGAGGUGGAACAAAGGAUGAUGAAUGAUAAUGAUGCUUGUUUAAUUUGCUUGUUCACCAUGCUUGCUUAGAAUAGGUGCUUACCUAGAAUGGAUAAUCAACUAGAACCUGAUGCUAAAACUUGAAAGUAAGGAUCCACAUUAGAAUGAGUUAGGGUUGAGGUGGACUAGUUCCAAAUGGUAGUACUUCAGCAAUCCCUGAAGAACUCGGAUGACGGCAACGCCAGCCCACGCUCGAUGAAAUGCGCGAAGAUUACUGUCUCAUCCGAGUAGCUCUCGAAAGGCCACGUAUUUCUGGCUGCUUCUCUCCAAUCUAUGAAUUCCUUCUCCUGGAGUAGAUUGGCAAGCACUAGUACCUGGAUCUUCACGUACUUGGGCGCAGGCAGCUGGACCUCCUUCUCUUUCUUGGCGGCCUUGCGCUUCUUCGAUUCUGCCGCCUUGCUCGAGGAUGCCUUCUUGGGCACCAUUGCUCUAAUGGUCUUCUGGCGCAUCAGCUAGAUAGCUAUACAGUGGGGGGUAGCAGCGCUCAAGGACGGCAAGCGGUGGCACUAGGGUAACAGUGCUCGGGGAAUGCAUGUCGUGGCGCUAGGGUGACAGUGGAGAAGAUGAAUGGCCGAGUGCACUAGUUUGGGUAAAUAGAAGGGAUAAUAUUCCUCCGUCAUUUAUAAACACGGCACAAGGUAACUGAGCGGCGAAGAUUACAAGGAAUAUUCCAUUUUUUAAGCCAUCAGUUAUCGUCGGAACGGUUACCAAGUUUUUCAGAAGAGAUAAGUUUUCUGAAAGACGAACGGUCACAUUGGACCAGUGGUUGACCCUUAUACCCAAAAUAGUCGUAUAACGGCUCGGGGGCUGCAUGCCACGUGCCCGUUGGACAAAAAGUUUUUUCUUCAAGUUUUAAGGGGAAAAAUGUGAAAUUACAAGAUUGACCCUCAACCUAAUUCUUCCAUUCAAUCUAAGGCUUCGGGGCUACUCCAUAUGGAGUGCGAUUUUUUCAAAUCACGCUUCCAUAUAAGAUUGAAGAUUCAAGGCUAAGUUAAAUGAGGCUUGAGCAGCUUCUAGCCGCAUGGCAGUACUCGAGCACAUUCGAGGACUCAAUCCAACGGAGUGCUCAAAAGAAGCUAAAGUGCAUGCACAAGAAGUAAGAAUGCAGAAAGUAAUUAAUCAGUGAGUGGCCCAAACAGUUACUGAGAUGGCCCAAUCUGGAGCACUGCUGGAUCCCAACAUCGUCGUUAGGCCUUCUCAACGCCGAAGCAGUUGUGCUUCCACAGGGGUCCCCGAUGAGAACAUGCCAAGAUUACCCAUGGUUACGCAGGAGCACCAACGGUACCCUAUGGAUGACAUCACUCAGCGCACCCCAUGUGAGCUGUACAGACCAUUUGGCAACAUCACUAUUAAGGUGGCGUACGGAAGUGCUUUACCAAUCCUGCCAGGACAGAAAAGCCAUGGCAUGGAGAUUCCACCUGGCUACUCCAGCGUUGGCCUAGAGCAGAUUUGUGAUAGUCAAUAUGUUGGCCUAGAGCUUGACCUCCCGCGAGGCGAUGGGAAAAGGACACUAGGAGAUGCACUUCACAGUCUCAUUCUAUGGCGCAAACGCUACACCAUCAUCCCCGGUAAGGAGGCAUCAUUGCUUCCCAUAGAUCCCCCGUAGCCACCGUCUCCUCAGAACUCAAAACGGUCAUCUCCAGCACAUCCACCUCCAGGACCGUCGUCACCACCGAGACCGUCACAUCCUACUCGAUCACCGUCUCCAUCUCCAUCGAAUCUUAGUGGUGCGAGCGAGGACGACCAAAACACCCCUCCUCGAUCACUAUUGCCGGGACUAAACUCUAGUGCGACCAAGGAACCUGCAGCACCUCUCAAGAAGUCGCGACCACCGCCUUCCAAGCUAAGGCAGCCAAAGGCAAAAGAACCUGUUAAGAAAACAAAAAAGUCUGAACCCAUGAACAAUCUAGCAGGCGAUAUGACUUCUAAGGAAUUGCAGUAGGCAUCGCAAACACAGGUGAGGGAGUUCUUCCAAGCAUGCGCUGAACAAAGAAAAGUGAAGAUGAUGGAGCCAAAGCUAGUAUAUCUAGCAAAAUUAGAUUUUUUAUUGGCAUGAAAAAAGAAAUAAAGAAGACUUUACUAUCGAACUACAAUCGUUCGUUAGUUAAGUCUUAUCACAAGAAAAAAAUAAGGAGAGUCAUCUUCCAGUCGUACUAUCCCCAGCUUAGGCAGCAAGCAGGUAAAGACGAUCAAGCUAUAACAGCUUUGCCCUAAGAACAAGAAUUCCAAGUCAUUACAUUUAUGGAAGAUACAGAUCUGUCACUUGCUGAAGUUCUAGGGCAAGCUGAAUCGCCAGCUCCAGAAAAGAUUGUACCUAAAUGGCCCUUUGAGGUAGGCAAGCCUCUAGUGAGGCCUGAAUUGGUACGGAAGCUCUCUAGGAAGAUGUAUGAAUUCCAUCAAUAGUACAAGGAGUAGUCAGCCAAGGAAAGGAUCAUGUUCGCUCUUCGUGUUAAAUCGAUUGAUUUUUCAGUGAAGGUGAGAAACUCCUGUGGUUGCAAUUAAAGGAUAUAUAUAAAGUGUACCAUCAGGAUGCCCUUGACAUCUCUCUCAUCAGCGCUUGGGUUCUGAUGCUAAUUCAGAUGUGCUGCAGAGAAUCCUACUUCAACAUUGGCUUCAUGGAUCCAUCUCUCAUUAACCAAGAUCAGAUAUGAGAUCAACCAAAGCAUACAUUAGACGCAAUAUACACUUCCUUGAAGCAACAAAAUUACAAGCAAUACAUACUACUGUCAUACAACUUUAAGUAAGUGUGGGUACCGUCUAUUUUCGUUUUCCUUUUCCUUACCUAAUUAGUGUUAGUUAGUUCUAAUAUGAACAUUUAUGUACGCAGUUUCCACUGGAUUCUCCUUGUAAUUAACAUUGAUAAAAUUAACAUUAUUGUGUUCGAUUCAUCGAGAAAACCACCGGUGGAGUACAAAGACAUUCAAGACAUGCUAAACUUCAGCAUCGAAACGAUUCCAUAAGACUCACCAUGGUAAAUUGAAAGAAAAACUUACACUCAAUACAACAUUCCCGGUACGUAUGAAGUUUGCACAUUUUGUACAUUCUAUAACACGAAUAUUUCAUAACUUAUUUUUUUCCUACUAAAGUGCUUGGGACAGCAACAAAGCAAUAAUUUAUGUGGAUACUACGUCUGUGAGCACAUGAGUAAUUUUGUGCGGAACAAGGUGAUAUCGGCUAUUAAUAAUUAAUUAUUUUCUAGCUCCUUAUAUUUAAUUGUUCGUGUAAUAUUCACAUAUUUUCAAAUUACAAAUAUUGCGGAUUAAAUAAGAACUCUUGGAGAAGGAGAUGCUUUUGACAAUCCAAGAAACUCUCGUAGGAUUUCUGGUGGACGAGGUGAUAAAUCCCGUAGGAGAAUUUUAUUACGACGGAGAUUCAGUAGCCGAACGGAGCAACACCACAACGGGAGGAUCCUAAGAAUGAAGACGGCAAAUUAUUAUAUAUAUAGUAAUUAUAUAAAUACUAGUUUGAUGUGUAUAAUAUACUAAGAAUUGUAUAUAUAUAGUACUAUCAUGAAAUAUAUAUACGACUUGCAUACAAUAUGAGCGUAUACGUGUAAGUAGUGUAUGCUAAGGAUGUAUAUGUAUAUAUAUGUGAAGCAACAAUUAGCAUUAAUAUGGAAAAGAUUUUUUAAAA